This is a long non-coding RNA of Frankliniella occidentalis (western flower thrips), 1108 nucleotides long. RefSeq lists it as uncharacterized. NCBI's taxonomy places the organism in Eukaryota, Metazoa, Arthropoda, Insecta, Thysanoptera, Thripidae. The record is from RefSeq and is a predicted model, not a curated record. The transcript is spliced from 3 exons.
CAUCAAAAUUGAUGUCAAUCACUCUUAAAGGCUAUUUGCUUUUAAGAAGGAUUUUAGCUUCAGCAGCACCAAUAAUAGUGUAAAUUUGAGUCUCAAAUUUUAUCUUUAGUCUUGUCAUAUGAUGGCCCUGUAGUGAGGUUACUGACUUCUCAAGUUGGAUUUGGUGCUGCUUUAGUUUCCUGUCGUUGGCGUCAUGGCAAAAAUAUUUAAGCUGAACUCUGAAUAUUUUGCUCCUCCUCGUGGUCUCACCCGGGAAGAAAUUAUAUGCUUCAAAUUGGCUGUUAAGGGUUGAUUCACUUCCGCUCCAGACGCCUUCAUAGCAUAUGAUUUCUUGCUAAACGCCUAAAAUAGGGAUUUUCAGGUUUAAUAUUUUCGAUCAUGUACAACUAUUUUGCUGAUAUCUGAACCGAUCUGCUAGGCCUCAGGAAGGUGCAGCCUUGGGAUCAUACCAGAUCUGAGGAUGUUGCUAACCACUGAGGACAUCUUUGACAUCUUCAGUUGAUUUUGCAUUGACGGAGUUUAAGCAAGAUUUGGAAGUCAUGGAGUUCUGAGAAUAUGGACCUCUGGCUAUGCCCUGUCAGUAAAUUGCAGUCUCCUGUUGCUUCAACUUCGUAAGGAGCCCAACAAGAUGCAGCUCUUUCCGAAUCAAGCAAAGUUUGUAAACGUUCUUUCUAUAACCUGGUGGGGAGGAUAUUUAUUUCAAGAUUUGCACUGUGAUAAUUGAAAAUAUAUCCCUCAGUCCUACUGUUUGUCUUAUGUCUUGAAUGAGUUUAGCUUUGUUGCUUUAACGUUGCUAUGAGUAUUAAGUAAAUUCUUGUGAAUUGACCCUCCAUUGAAUCUGCCUGUGGAUAAAUACUUAGCUGCGGUUAUGCUAUUUAUCCAGUUGAUAUUUUUUCUAAGCCUUGAGAAUAAACCAUUUGUCAUUCUAAUAUUCUUUGUAUUGAUUGAUUUUUUUUUUUUUUUUGUUCAUAUGUUCAAAUGUGCUUUAAUUGCUCAUAUGCUAUAUUGAAACGGUUUUCUGAAACUGUUGCAACUGAAGUAUGCCAGACUAUUUGUUUAAUUAAAAAAAAACAAACAACUUCAAUAUUUGCACUGAUUGUAAGUCUUU